RNAcentral lists this ribosomal RNA (1264 nucleotides) under metagenome. Its description in RNAcentral is "SSU rRNA". It matches the Rfam family "Eukaryotic small subunit ribosomal RNA", at positions 526 to 1783 of the family's 1831-position model. The record is from RNAcentral.
UAAACGGACCAUCGAGUAUCCAUUGGAGUGCAAGUCUGGUGCCAGCAGCUGCGGUAAUACCAGCUCCAAUAGCGUAUAUUAAAGUUGUUGCAGUUAAAAAGCUCGUAGUUGGACUUGUGUGCGCUGUCCGCGGGUGGCCUGCGCCCAAAAGGGCGUUUCGGUUCGGCCCCGGUGGCGCCUUGAAAUCUGCAGCUGGGGGGACGUUGGCCUUAACUGGUCGGCGACCGCACGCCGGCUGCUCGGUUACUGUGAGAAAAUUAGAGUGUUCAAGGCAGGCAUUGGGUGCAAUUGAAUACAUUAGCAUGGAAUAAUAAAAUAUGGCUCCUGCCGUAUUUUGUUGGUUUUGACUGGUGGGAGUAAUGAUUGAUAGGGACGGUUGGGGGUGCUAGUAUUGAGCGGCCAGAGGUGGAAUUCAUGGAUUCGCUCAAGACUAACUUAUGCGAAAGCAUUCACCAAGGACGUCCUCUUUAAUCAAGAACGAAAGUUGGGGGAUCGAAGACGAUCAGAUACCGUCGUAGUCUCAACCAUAAACUAUGUCGACUUGGGAUCGGCGGUAGUUUUUUCAUUAAGACACUGUCGGGACCACGGGAGAAAUCAAAGUGUCUGGACUCUGGGGGAAGUAUGGUCGCAAGGCUGAAACUUGAAGGAAUUGACGGAAGGGCACCACCAGGAGUGGAGCCUGCGGCUUAAUUUGACCCAACACGGGGAAACUUACCAGGUCCAGAGAUGUAGAGGAUUGACAGAUUGAAGCUCUUUCUUGAUCACUUCGGUGGUGGUGCAUGGCCGUUCUUAGUUGGUGGAGUGAUUUGUCUGGUUAAUUCCGUUAACGAACGAGACCUCAGCCUGCUAGUGUAGUCGGCUGGAUUGCCUUUGGCGAUCCGUGAUUUCGACUUCUUAGAGGGACAAUCGACGCGCAGUCGAUGGAAGUUUGAGGCAAUAACAGGUCUGUGAUGCCCUUAGAUGUUCUGGGCCGCAUGCGCGCUACACUGCUGGGCUCAGCGAGUUUUACUUGGCCGAGAGGCCCGGUUAAUCUUGUGAAAUCCCAGCGUGCUUGGGCUCGCCUCCUGCAACUGGAGGCGCCAACGAGGAAUUCCUAGUAGACGCAGGUCAUCAACCUGCAUCGAUUACGUCCCUGCCCUUUGUACACACCGCCCGUCGUUCCAUAAGAGUGAGGCAUCCGGUGAAUUCUCGGGAGAGCCUGGGCGUGGCCAGCAAUGGUCUGCUCGGGUUUGAACUUGCAUAAACUUGGUGCCUAUGAUUAGGG